ACCGGAGCUAAUACCGGAUAAUAUAUUGAACUGCAUGGUUCAAUAGUGAAAGACGGUUUUGCUGUCACUUAUAGAUGGAUCCGCGCCGCACUAGCUAGUUGGUAAGGUAACGGCUUACCAAGGCAACGAUGCGUAGCCGACCUGAGAGGGUGAUCGGCCACACUGGAACUGAGACACGGUCCAG
Molecule: ribosomal RNA, 184 nt
Filed under: uncultured Staphylococcus sp.
Lineage: Bacteria; Bacillati; Bacillota; Bacilli; Caryophanales; Staphylococcaceae
Description: partial 16S ribosomal RNA
Rfam family: Bacterial small subunit ribosomal RNA
Source: RNAcentral